RNAcentral lists this ribosomal RNA (466 nucleotides) under uncultured bacterium. RNAcentral describes it as "partial 16S ribosomal RNA". It matches the Rfam family "Bacterial small subunit ribosomal RNA", at positions 29 to 507 of the family's 1533-position model. The record is from RNAcentral.
ACGAACGCUGGCGGCGUGCUUAACACAUGCAAGUCGAACGGAAAGGCCUCUUUCGGGGGGUACUCGAGUGGCGAACGGGUGAGUAACACGUGAGUAACCUGCCCUUGACUUUGGGAUAACUUCAGGAAACUGGGGCUAAUACCGGAUAGGAGCUCCUGCUGCAUGGUGGGGGUUGGAAAGUUUCGGCGGUUGGGGAUGGACUCGCGGCUUAUCAGCUUGUUGGUGGGGUAGUGGCUUACCAAGGCUUUGACGGGUAGCCGGCCUGAGAGGGUGACCGGCCACAUUGGGACUGAGAUACGGCCCAGACUCCUACGGGAGGCAGCAGUGGGGAAUAUUGCACAAUGGGUGGAAGCCUGAUGCAGCAACGCCGUGUGCGGGAUGACGGCCUUCGGGUUGUAAACCGCAUUCGCUCAUGACGAAGCUUUGUGUGACGGUAGUGGGUAAAGAAGCACCGGCUAACUACGUG